AACGAACGCUGGCGGCAGGCCUAACACAUGCAAGUCGAGCGGACCUUUCGGGGUCAGCGGCGGACGGGUGAGUAACGCGUGGGAAUAUGCCCUUCUCUACGGCAUAGUCCUGGGAAACUGGGGGUAAUACCGUAUACGCCCUUUGGGGGAAAGAUUUAUCGGGGAAGGAUUAGCCCGCGUUGGAUUAGGUAGUUGGUGGGGUAAUGGCCUACCAAGCCGACGAUCCAUAGCUGGUUUGAGAGGAUGAUCAGCCACACUGGGACUGAGACACGGCCCAGACUCCUACGGGAGGCAGCAGUGGGGAAUCUUAGACAAUGGGGGCAACCCUGAUCUAGCCAUGCCGCGUGAGUGAUGAAGGCCUUAGGGUUGUAAAGCUCUUUCAGCUGGGAAGAUAAUGACGGUACCAGCAGAAGAAGCCCCGGCUAACUCCGUG
This 433-nucleotide ribosomal RNA is filed under the name uncultured bacterium. Its description in RNAcentral is "partial 16S ribosomal RNA". It matches the Rfam family "Bacterial small subunit ribosomal RNA", at positions 29 to 507 of the family's 1533-position model. The record is from RNAcentral.